Molecule: ribosomal RNA, 459 nt
Filed under: uncultured bacterium
Lineage: Bacteria
Description: SSU rRNA
Rfam family: Bacterial small subunit ribosomal RNA
Source: RNAcentral
AGAACGAACGCUGGCGGCAGGCCUAACACAUGCAAGUCGAACGCCGUAGCAAUACGGAGUGGCAGACGGGUGAGUAACGCGUGGGAACAUACCCUUCGGUUCGGAAUAACUCAGGGAAACUUGAGCUAAUACCGGAUACGUCCGAGGUUUUAAUCGACCUUGGAGAAAGAUUUAUCGCCGGAGGAUUGGCCCGCGUCUGAUUAGCUUGUUGGUGAGGUAAUGGCUCACCAAGGCGACGAUCAGUAGCUGGUCUGAGAGGAUGAUCAGCCACAUUGGGACUGAGACACGGCCCAAACUCCUACGGGAGGCAGCAGUGGGGAAUAUUGGACAAUGGGCGAAAGCCUGAUCCAGCCAUGCCGCGUGAGUGAUGAAGGCCUUAGGGUUGUAAAGCUCUUUUACCCGGGAAGAUAAUGACGGUACCGGGAGAAUAAGCCCGGCUAACUUCGUGCCAGCAGCCGC